Molecule: long non-coding RNA, 470 nt
Filed under: Salmo salar (Atlantic salmon)
Lineage: Eukaryota; Metazoa; Chordata; Actinopteri; Salmoniformes; Salmonidae
Description: lncRNA (ENSSSAG00000104127.1)
Source: RNAcentral
CUGGUAUGUGGAUCCAUAAUGCUGUACUAUAGAAGGUGAUAAUUCUAUACUGGUAUGUGUAUCCAUAAUGCUGUACUAUAGAAGGUGAUAAAUCUAUACUGGUAUGUGUAUCCAUAAUGCUGUACUAUAGAAGGUGAUAAAUCUAUACUGGUAUGUGUAUCCAUAAUGCUGUACUAUAGAAGGUGAUAUAUCACCCAGCCCUACAUCAGCUUCUAACCAUGCAGUUCACAAGGCACAUCUGUGUAAAGGCUGCAGUACAUUCCUGUGAUGAAAAGAUCUCUGCUAGGUCGUGUCAUGUUGUGAUAUAAAGAGCAUGCUCUGGGUCUGCAAGGUUAGCUUAGGUAUGUUUUACAUUUUUCCUGCAGUCAAAUGACCAAUUCAUAUUUAAUAAAUAAUAAUAAACAUAAUUAAUAAACAUUAUUUUAUUUUAUUUAUUUUUGUUUCAAAGUAUAUUUUUUAAGACAAGAAAC